RNAcentral lists this unclassified non-coding RNA (237 nucleotides) under Hevea brasiliensis (rubber tree). Lineage: Eukaryota; Viridiplantae; Streptophyta; Magnoliopsida; Malpighiales; Euphorbiaceae. The record is from RNAcentral.
GGUUGAUCCUUGUUGAGAGCAGGAUUCAUAGGCUCGCUCGAUACUACAAGAAAACAAAGAAGCUCCCUCCCGUCUGGAAAUACGAAUCAACCACUGCCAGCACACUUGUGGCCUAGGCUGGAUAUGUUGCGGAGCAAAGUUUUGGGAUAUCCAGAGUAGAUAUUGUACUCUUGUGAGAUCUGGUCGUGGUUCACAACUAAUAGGAAUUCAUGUUAUGAUGGGAUGAGGAUGGAGUGG